GAGCAGUUUAUUAGAAUACGGUGUGACAAGGUGUUUCGAGCAGGUUUCUUACAACCUCAAAGUUAUUUAGUUGACCUUAGAUAUUGAUUAGACGGUGGUUUGGUCAGGGCUUUCUUCCCCCUUUUUUACUUUACGAAGAAAUCGGUUGAAUUCGCCAUAAGUUGUUUACCGGUGGAGAGGAAACUAGCAGUUUAAGCAGGUCACCGAAACUCUUAAUAGCAACAUCUACAACAAAUAUAAAUCGUCGUUCGCUAAAGAGUCGCUGACUUAGUAUUUCCUCCCGGUGUCAAC
This is a long non-coding RNA of Culex quinquefasciatus (southern house mosquito), 291 nucleotides long. RefSeq lists it as uncharacterized. NCBI's taxonomy places the organism in Eukaryota, Metazoa, Arthropoda, Insecta, Diptera, Culicidae. The transcript has 4 exons. The record is from RefSeq and is a predicted model, not a curated record.